GGGUUGUGAGGUUAAGCGAACAAGCGUACACGGUGGAUGCCCUGGCAGUCAGAGGCGAUGAAGGACGUGCUAAUCUGCGAAAAGCGCCGGUAAGGUGAUAUGAACCGUUAUAACCGGCGAUGUCCGAAUGGGGAAACCCGGUGCACUUCGGUGCAUCAUCGUUAGCUGAAUACAUAGGCUAACGAAGCGAACCGGGGGAACUGAAACAUCUAAGUACCCCGAGGAAAAGAAAUCAACCGAGAUUCCCCCAGUAGCGGCGAGCGAACGGGGAACAGCCCAGAGCCUGAAUCAGCUUGUGUGUCAGUGGAACGGUCUGGAAAGGCCGGCGAUACAGGGUGACAGCCCCGUACACGAAGGCACACAGGCUGUGAGCUCGAUGAGUAGGGCGGGACACGUGAUAUCCUGUCUGAAGAUGGGGGGACCAUCCUCCAAGGCUAAAUACUCCUGACUGACCGAUAGUGAACCAGUACCGUGAGGGAAAGGCGAAAAGAACCCCGGCGAGGGGAGUGAAACAGAACCUGAAACCGUGUACGUACAAGCAGUGGGAGCCUUCGUAAGAGGGUGACUGCGUACCUUUUGUAUAAUGGGUCAGCGACUUAUAUUCUGUAGCAAGGUUAACCGUAUAGGGGAGCCGAAGGGAAACCGAGUCUUAACCGGGCGUUAAGUUGCAGGGUAUAGACCCGAAACCCGGUGAUCUAGCCAUGGGCAGGUUGAAGGUUGGGUAACACUAACUGGAGGACCGAACCGACUAAUGUUGAAAAAUUAGCGGAUGACCUGUGGCUGGGGGUGAAAGGCCAAUCAAACCGGGAGAUAGCUGGUUCUCCCCGAAAGCUAUUUAGGUAGCGCCUCGUGAACUCAUCUCCGGGGGUAGAGCACUGUUUCGGCUAGGGGGCCAUCCCGGCUUACCAACCCGAUGCAAACUGCGAAUACCGGAGAAUGUUAUCACGGGAGACACACGGCGGGUGCUAACGUCCGUCGUGAAGAGGGAAACAACCCAGACCGCCAGCUAAGGUCCCAAAGUCAUGGUUAAGUGGGAAACGAUGUGGGAAGGCCCAGACAGCCAGGAUGUUGGCUUAGAAGCAGCCAUCAUUUAAAGAAAGCGUAAUAGCUCACUGGUCGAGUCGGCCUGCGCGGAAGAUGUAACGGGGCUAAACCAUGCACCGAAGCUGCGGCAGCGACACUAUGUGUUGUUGGGUAGGGGAGCGUUCUGUAAGCCUGCGAAGGUGUGCUGUGAGGCAUGCUGGAGGUAUCAGAAGUGCGAAUGCUGACAUAAGUAACGAUAAAGCGGGUGAAAAGCCCGCUCGCCGGAAGACCAAGGGUUCCUGUCCAACGUUAAUCGGGGCAGGGUGAGUCGACCCCUAAGGCGAGGCCGAAAGGCGUAGUCGAUGGGAAACAGGUUAAUAUUCCUGUACUUGGUGUUACUGCGAAGGGGGGACGGAGAAGGCUAUGUCGGCCGGGCGACGGUUGUCCCGGUUUAAGCGUGUAGGCUGACUUUCCAGGCAAAUCCGGAAGGUUAAGGCUGAGGCGUGAUGACGAGGCACCACGGUGCUGAAGUGACAAAUGCCCUGCUUCCAGGAAAAGCCUCUAAGCAUCAGGUAACAUCAAAUCGUACCCCAAACCGACACAGGUGGUCAGGUAGAGAAUACCAAGGCGCUUGAGAGAACUCGGGUGAAGGAACUAGGCAAAAUGGUGCCGUAACUUCGGGAGAAGGCACGCUGACAUGUAGGUGAAGCCCCUGCGGGUGGAGCUGAAGUCAGUCGAAGAUACCAGCUGGCUGCAACUGUUUAUUAAAAACACAGCACUGUGCAAACACGAAAGUGGACGUAUACGGUGUGACGCCUGCCCGGUGCCGGAAGGUUAAUUGAUGGGGUUAUCGCAAGAGAAGCUCCUGAUCGAAGCCCCGGUAAACGGCGGCCGUAACUAUAACGGUCCUAAGGUAGCGAAAUUCCUUGUCGGGUAAGUUCCGACCUGCACGAAUGGCGUAAUGAUGGCCAGGCUGUCUCCACCCGAGACUCAGUGAAAUUGAACUCGCUGUGAAGAUGCAGUGUACCCGCGGCAAGACGGAAAGACCCCGUGAACCUUUACUACAGCUUGACACUGAACAUUGAGCCUUGAUGUGUAGGAUAGGUGGGAGGCUUUGAAGCGUGGACGCCAGUCUGCGUGGAGCCGACCUUGAAAUACCACCCUUUAAUGUUUGAUGUUCUAACCUGGCGCCAUAAUCUGGCGUGGGGACAGUGUCUGGUGGGUAGUUUGACUGGGGCGGUCUCCUCCCAAAGUGUAACGGAGGAGCACGAAGGUCAGCUAAUCCUGGUCGGACAUCAGGAGGUUAGUGCAAUGGCAUAAGCUGGCUUGACUGCGAGAGUGACGGCUCGAGCAGGUGCGAAAGCAGGUCAUAGUGAUCCGGUGGUUCUGUAUGGAAGGGCCAUCGCUCAACGGAUAAAAGGUACUCCGGGGAUAACAGGCUGAUACCGCCCAAGAGUUCAUAUCGACGGCGGUGUUUGGCACCUCGAUGUCGGCUCAUCACAUCCUGGGGCUGAAGUAGGUCCCAAGGGUAUGGCUGUUCGCCAUUUAAAGUGGUACGCGAGCUGGGUUUAGAACGUCGUGAGACAGUUCGGUCCCUAUCUGCCGUGGGCGCUGGAGAAUUGAGGGGGGCUGCUCCCAGUACGAGAGGACCGGAGUGGACGCAUCACUGGUGUUCGGGUUGUCAUGCCAAUGGCACUGCCCGGUAGCUAAAUGCGGAAGAGAUAAGUGCUGAAAGCAUCUAAGCACGAAACUUGCCCCGAGAUGAGUUCUCCCUGAGACUAUAAGUCUCCUGAAGGAACGUUGAAGACGACGACGUUGAUAGGCCGGGUGUGUAAGCGCAGCGAUGCGUUGAGCUAACCGGUACUAAUGAACCGUGAGGCUUAACCUUACAACGCCAAAGAAGU
Molecule: ribosomal RNA, 2927 nt
Filed under: Cronobacter sakazakii
Lineage: Bacteria; Pseudomonadati; Pseudomonadota; Gammaproteobacteria; Enterobacterales; Enterobacteriaceae
Description: 23S ribosomal RNA
Rfam family: Bacterial large subunit ribosomal RNA
Source: RNAcentral